GGGCGAGUGUCGGAACUGGUAGACGAGCAUGACUUAGGAUCAUGUGGAGCAAUCCGUGAGAGUUCAAAUCUCUCCUCGCCCACCA
This 85-nucleotide transfer RNA is filed under the name Pseudomonadota bacterium. RNAcentral describes it as "tRNA-Leu". It matches the Rfam family "tRNA". From Rfam's summary of the family: Transfer RNA (tRNA) molecules are approximately 80 nucleotides in length. The record is from RNAcentral. RNAcentral also lists the same sequence under 1 other name. Lineage: Bacteria; Pseudomonadati; Pseudomonadota.